Molecule: long non-coding RNA, 446 nt
Organism: Bombus impatiens (common eastern bumble bee)
Lineage: Eukaryota; Metazoa; Arthropoda; Insecta; Hymenoptera; Apidae
Exons: 3
Source: RefSeq, a predicted model, not a curated record
CGUUUUCCCCUUUCGAGAUACACAUCGUCCACCCCCUCGGUGCUAGUGAAUCUUCCUUUUGCGAAUCGACUUAUCACCACCCACCCGUUCGAAGGUAACAAGAAGCAUCACGCGUGUGAAUUCCUUAACCUUUUCAAGGAAAGUGUGCCAAGGAAUUCCGAUCAUGGGGAAAAACGCAGAAUGGCGAAGGGUUCUUUCUGGUUAUAACGCAAUUCAAGGAUUUCCGAGAUGAGAAUUUAGUGGAAAAUUCGUCGUGAAAGAAUCAUUGACGAAUGGGAACAGACGGAUUUAUCGUAGUGAAAUAUAAUCUUUCAUUGCUGUCUACCUAUUUGAAUGGAUCGUCAAGAGUACCGAAUUCGCAUACUCUUCCUGUUAUUGUCGGUCAAUUGUAACGGUCACGUGUUCCGAAGUUGGAAUGAAACAGAAUUCGUGGAAGGACAAAAGAC